RNAcentral lists this long non-coding RNA (291 nucleotides) under Homo sapiens (human). RNAcentral's name for it is "HSALNT0178342". The record is from RNAcentral. Lineage: Eukaryota; Metazoa; Chordata; Mammalia; Primates; Hominidae.
GGGCAGAGGGGAGGGAGGAAAGAGACAGGCAUGGGCUGCCAGGAAACUAGAGGCCGGCAGAUAGACACGGCAGGGAGAGACUGAGGCAGGAGGAGGCAGCGCAACCUUUCCCAGAGGCAGCAGCGGCCAGGGCCCUCUGAUGCCGAGCAGGGACAGUGGCAUUUCUAGACGAUGAGGGUGGGGCGGUGGCCAGCAUCUCCGCUCCCUACCCAGGGACCUUCACUCGCCGGCGGGGAAUGCUGAGUCUCGCCUGGGAUGAAGUUUCCCUUUGGAGGCUUUUCAUUCCAGCCC